UACGAAGGGGGCUAGCGUUGCUCGGAAUCACUGGGCGUAAAGCGCACGUAGGCGGUUUCUUAAGUCAGGGGUGAAAUCCUGGAGCUCAACUCCAGAACUGCCUUUGAUACUGGGAGACUUGGAGUCCGGGAGAGGUGAGUGGAACUGCGAGUGUAGAGGUGAAAUUCGUAGAUAUUCGCAAGAACACCAGUGGCGAAGGCGGCUCACUGGCCCGGUACUGACGCUGAGGUGCGAAAGCGUGGGUAGCAAACAGG
RNAcentral lists this ribosomal RNA (254 nucleotides) under uncultured bacterium. RNAcentral's name for it is "partial 16S ribosomal RNA". It matches the Rfam family "Bacterial small subunit ribosomal RNA", at positions 524 to 776 of the family's 1533-position model. The record is from RNAcentral.